This 23-nucleotide unclassified non-coding RNA is filed under the name Mus musculus (house mouse). Its description in RNAcentral is "oocyte_clustered_small_RNA2886". The record is from RNAcentral. Lineage: Eukaryota; Metazoa; Chordata; Mammalia; Rodentia; Muridae.
ACCACCUUGUCCUUCUUCAAGCA